ACGGAAGGCAGCAGUGGGGAAUAUUGGGCAAUGGGCGAAAGCCUGACCCAGCGACGCCGCGUGAAGGAAGAAGGCCUUCGGGUUGUAAACUUCAGUCAACAGGGAAGAAACAAAUGACGGUACCUGUGGAGGAAGCCACGGCUAACUACGUGCCAGCAGCCGCGGUAAUACGUAGGUGGCAAGCGUUAUCCGGAUUUACUGGGUGUAAAGGGUGUGUAGGCGGGAUCGCAAGUCAGAUGUGAAAAUUAUGGGCUUAACUCAUAACCUGCAUUUGAAACUGCGAUUCUUGAGUAUCGGAGAGGUAAACGGAAUUCCCAGUGUAGCGGUGAAAUGCGUAGAUAUUGGGAGGAACACCAGUGGCGAAGGCGGUUUACUGGACGACAACUGACGCUGAGACACGAAAGCGUGGGGAGCAAACAGGAUUAGAUACCCUGGUA
This 437-nucleotide ribosomal RNA is filed under the name uncultured Oscillospiraceae bacterium. RNAcentral describes it as "bacterial SSU rRNA". It matches the Rfam family "Bacterial small subunit ribosomal RNA", at positions 341 to 792 of the family's 1533-position model. Lineage: Bacteria; Bacillati; Bacillota; Clostridia; Eubacteriales; Oscillospiraceae. The record is from RNAcentral.